GAUGAAGUGAAAAAGGGAAGAGAUGCAUCAGACUGAAGCCUGGAUUCUUAUACUUCAUCACUGAAGAAGACGAUUAAUUUCGCAUGAAGAAUGGAAGCAGGGGGAAGCAGCGAACCUGACUAUGGCCAAAUGUGGCCAUUCAAGAUCCAGUUCUCUCACAGAUAAGCUGCCCUGAUCCUCAAGAGAAGGAGAGAGUCUCAAAGAAUGGGCUAUUACCAUCAGCGGAGAGACAGAGCCAGAUCUCAUUGUCCUGGAAC
Molecule: long non-coding RNA, 257 nt
Organism: Epinephelus fuscoguttatus (brown-marbled grouper)
Lineage: Eukaryota; Metazoa; Chordata; Actinopteri; Perciformes; Serranidae
Exons: 3
Source: RefSeq, a predicted model, not a curated record